AGGUUUCUGAAUCCGCGCACAGAUUUCAUCAGACACCGACCCAUGAGGACUGAUCAGACUUCCAAGAUAAGUGAAGUU
Molecule: microRNA precursor, 78 nt
Filed under: Schistosoma haematobium
Lineage: Eukaryota; Metazoa; Platyhelminthes; Trematoda; Strigeidida; Schistosomatidae
Description: mir-3492 microRNA precursor family
Rfam family: mir-3492 microRNA precursor family
Source: Rfam by way of RNAcentral